RNAcentral lists this long non-coding RNA (1062 nucleotides) under Cricetulus griseus (Chinese hamster). RNAcentral describes it as "lncRNA (ENSCGRG00015041603.1)". The record is from RNAcentral. Lineage: Eukaryota; Metazoa; Chordata; Mammalia; Rodentia; Cricetidae.
UGAGAAUAAUUAAGAUGGGAGACCCAUCAUAACUGGAUGAUACCAUUUCAUGAAAAAGGGUAGUCUGAGGUCUUAGAAUGAAUUAAAAGGAAUUCAUUCCUUUGCCUUAACAAUGAAAAUGUAAUGAAUGAAGAAAGUGAAUGAAGGGACAGACAAGUAAACUGGAGUAUGAAUUCCUUGUGAGUGUGCAGUAUAAGCUCUUAGAGUUCAUGUUCAUGAAUUUAAGCUGGAUUCAACAGCACUGGAUUCAACUACACUGCUUUUCUUCAGAUACAUCCUGCAGCAUUGUAAGUAUAGAACAGCACCCUGAUCUACUUAAGGCUAUGUGCAACUCAAAGGACAUAUCUACAAGUGGUGAAUUCAGCUUUACAUAUAUCUGUUUAAACUAUUGAGUGCACACCUGAUGAGAGCUGUGACUGUUUUAAAUCAUGACCUUUUCAUGUUCCCGAGGCUGCUAGGCUGCUUUUGGAUACUUCACUUGGAAGUUCACCCAUAUGGUCAACAAUAAAUGUAUAGUUUCCUGAUGAGAAGGCAACAGUUGAAGGUCAUAGGUCUGCAUCUAUUUCCUAUUGAACAGCUUUGCUGGUCACAAAAGCACAGACCUCAGUUCUAUUGUUCUCAUCAUAACUCAAGUCACCACUUUCUCUUCAAAAGAUGUAAACCCAAGACUAUGGUGUUCUCCCCCAAACUCUGAACUUCACCAAGAAAUCAACUUUUGGGUUUUUGUUCCUUUGUUUUUUUCCUGGAUACUGGUUCUGAGUAUUCAGCUACGACAGGGAUUCACAAACAUCAUGGAUGGUUUUGUGGAAGACAGAGUAUAUCUGUAAUGUAUUCCUUAUAUUUCAGCCUUUAGCUGAAAUUAAGAUAUCUGUAAUACUCAGAGAAGUCCAUAGCAUGCCUCCUUCCUGCCCAAUAUAAGCAACCCCCCCCAUGAUGUAUUUAUAAUACACAAACUGGAGAGUUAGACCCCAUUGCUCUGAUAUAUUGAGAAGCAAGGUUUGUUUAUGAUACGAUAUUCCUGUUUAAGAUUUAAUAAAGACCACUAUCUGUUUUGUAUUGUCA